AUGCAAGUGGUAGGAAGUCGUGAAGGGACCGACCUCGGGAGCUUGCACAGGUGCUGCAUGGCUGUCGUCAGCUCGUGUCGUGAGAUGUUCGGUUAAGUCCGCUAACGAGCGCAACCCUCGUCGUGUGUUACAAGGUGUCACGCGAGACCGCCGACGUCAAGUCGGAGGAAGGUGGGAUGAUGUCAAGUCAGCAUGGCCUUUAUAUCCAGGGCUACACACACGCUACAAUGGUCAACACAAUAGGUCGCGAAACCGCGAGGUGGAGCCAAUCCUCAAAGUUGGCCUCAGUUCAGAUUGUAGGCUGCAACUCGCCUGCAUGAAGAUGGAGUUGCUAGUAACCGCAGGUCAGCACUACUGCGGUGAAUACGUUCCCGGGUUU
Molecule: ribosomal RNA, 379 nt
Filed under: uncultured Levilinea sp.
Lineage: Bacteria; Bacillati; Chloroflexota; Anaerolineae; Anaerolineales; Anaerolineaceae
Description: bacterial SSU rRNA
Rfam family: Bacterial small subunit ribosomal RNA
Source: RNAcentral